RNAcentral lists this ribosomal RNA (673 nucleotides) under uncultured Actinomycetales bacterium. Its description in RNAcentral is "bacterial SSU rRNA". It matches the Rfam family "Bacterial small subunit ribosomal RNA", at positions 60 to 744 of the family's 1533-position model. The record is from RNAcentral. Lineage: Bacteria; Bacillati; Actinomycetota; Actinomycetes; Actinomycetales.
AGUCGAACGGAAAGGCCCUGCUUGCAGUGGUACUCGAGUGGCGAACGGGUGAGUAACACGUGGGUGAUCUGCCCUGCACUUCGGGAUAAGCUUGGGAGACUGGGUCUAAUACCGGAUAGGAGCCAUCUUUAGUGUGGUGGUUGGAAAGUUUUUUCGGUGUAGGAUGAGCUCGCGGCCUAUCAGCUUGUUGGUGGGGUAAUGGCCUACCAAGGCGGCGACGGGUAGCCGGCCUGAGAGGGUGUACGGCCACAUUGGGACUGAGAUACGGCCCAGACUCCUACGGGAGGCGGCAGUGGGGAAUAUUGCACAAUGGGCGCAAGCCUGAUGCAGCGACGCCGCGUGGGGGAUGAAGGCCUUCGGGUUGUAAACUCCUUUCGCUAGGGACGAAGCUUUGUUGUGACGGUACCUAGAUAAGAAGCACCGGCUAACUACGUGCCAGCAGCCGCGGUAAUACGUAGGGUGCGAGCGUUGUCCGGAAUUACUGGGCGUAACGGGCUCGUAGGUGGUUUGUCGCGUCGUCUGUGAAAUUCUGGGGCUUAACUCCGGGCGUGCAGGCGAUACGGGCAUAACUUGAGUGCUGUAGGGGUAACUGGAAUUCCUGGUGUAGCGGUGAAAUGCGCAGAUAUCAGGAGGAACACCGAUGGCGAAGGCAGGUUACUGGGCAGUUACUGAC